UACAGAGGGUGCGAGCGUUAAUCGGAAUUACUGGGCGUAAAGCGCGCGUAGGCGGCUUUGCAAGUCGGGUGUGAAAUCCUCAGGCUUAGCCUGGGAACUGCAUUCGAGACUGCAUUGCUAGAGUAUGGGAGAGGGAGGUGGAAUUUCCGGUGUAGCGGUGAAAUGCGUAGAUAUCGGAAGGAACAUCAGUGGCGAAAGCGACUUCCUGGACCAAUACUGACACUCAUGUGCGAAAGCGUGGGGAGCAAACAGG
RNAcentral lists this ribosomal RNA (253 nucleotides) under uncultured bacterium. Its description in RNAcentral is "partial 16S ribosomal RNA". It matches the Rfam family "Bacterial small subunit ribosomal RNA", at positions 524 to 776 of the family's 1533-position model. The record is from RNAcentral.